This 117-nucleotide ribosomal RNA is filed under the name Amphilophus citrinellus (Midas cichlid). The record is from RNAcentral. Lineage: Eukaryota; Metazoa; Chordata; Actinopteri; Cichliformes; Cichlidae.
GCUUAAGGCCAUACCACACUGAACACGGCUGAUCUUGUCUGAUCUUGAAAGCUUAGCAGGGUCGGGCCUGGUUAGUACUGGGAUGGGAGACCACCUGGAAAUACUGUACGGGCAGCA